CUAAGAAGACAAAACAAAAAACAACCACAAAAAGCCAAGUUCCUGGACCAGAGAUCAAACCCGUGCCACCGCAGUGACAACAGCAGAUCCCUAACCUGCCUAGGGAGCCCCUGGCCCCCCGGGUGUAGAACCUCCCCAGCUCUGCAAGGGAAGCAACUAGAGGGACAAAGGUCUAGCGACGCCCAGCGUCUGAGCCGACCGUGCAGGGAUGUAAAGGCGGGGCGGGCAGCUCUUCCCACAGUGAAAGGUCUCAGCUGAAGCGGCUCGGAGACCGCACUUCCGCGGGGUAUGUCCUCCAACCAGCGGAGGAACAAAGAAAAUGCUGCCAAACCCUCCGCAGCUUCCACCCCCUCCUGCCUCAGCACAGACCAGAGAAAGGAAAGCUGCACCCGCCCGGCAGGGAGGAUUCUGCGGGGAGCAUCUGAGAGACAAGAGGGGAGCCAGAGGGCCACGGUGGGCACGUGGCACUCCCGUGGCAGCGGCCUGCGCUGUGGCACCCUAUCCAGACCGGUUCCAAGCCCCACGAGGUCCAAACCAGUUUCCCCUGGUCCCCAAGCACACACUGUCCUACCGCCCCCGCCCAGCCACCUGCGCCUGCCCGCGUUCAGCCCCUCUCCCCAUCACCGUAUUCCCACAGGUCCGCUCUAGAGUUCCCUUUGCUCCCCGGCUGAAUUCCAACAAUCUGCUAUAAAGAGAAGAACCGCAGCCUCAGAUCCGGGGCCCGGCUUUCCUUUAGGGAUUGGAUGGAACAAGACCUGGCAACAUCCGGAAAGAAGAGAGGGUGGCAGUGGGAGCAGCAGGGAGCUGGUCCUGAGAGCUGCUGGCCUGGAGCCGCUACAGAUCCUGCCAGUGGAAGCUGGGCACCAAAAACUGAGUUGGGGCACUGCAACUCCUCAGAGGGACCCGAAGUCCCCUCAGACUAAAAGCCGAGAAGGUCCAGGCAAGGCAGGACGGCUGGGACAGGCCCCCGAAGAACUCCUCCCGUGGCUCUUUGAUCUUUGGGGUCACAUCCAAGGGCCCUCUUGCCAGAAAGGAGGCCGCUCUUCCAACACACCCACAGGGUUGCACACUAUCUCAGAAGGCUUGCAGAACCCGUGAGGUUCGCCAUGGCUUCUUGGGGGUGCAAGACCCGGUUUAAGUGGCCGUCUACCCUAUGGGGGUGGGCAUGGACCUGCUUUCCUAGGUCUGAGAGUCUGUCCUUCGCCAGGACUGCUAAGACAGCUCUACUUAAAACUGCGUGUUUAUCAUAUAAAAUACUAGCCUUUUUCCCCAGGAGACGGGCAAAAGGAGACGCACCACUAGACAGCUAAGCCGAGAGAUCCAACAGUGCUGCUAGGGCGGGAGCUAAAGACGUGCAGGACACACCGGUGACUUGUUAAGGUCAGUGACUUUCUUCCGGCUGCGCCCAGGGCACAUGGAAGUUCCUGGGCCAGGGAUUAAACCGGAGCCGUAACUGCGACCUACGCUGCAGCUGUGGCAGCGCCAGAUCCUUUUAACCUGCUAUGCCGGCCUGGGGAUCAGACCUGCACCUCCACAGUGACCCAAGCCGCUGCAGUUGGAUUCUUAACCCACUGUGCCACAGUGGGAACUCCUAGUCAGUGACUUUUGGUCCUUAAAAUUUUUGUCAGCAUAAGACUCUCAGAACUUUUUUCUCUUACAAGAAACUAGAGUAGUGGUGGCUGAUGGCCAUCUCCAUGGAAACAGUGCCAUGCCAGCCGGGAUCUCCAUGGAAACAGUGCCCUGCCAGCCGGGAUCUCCAUGGAAACAGUGCCCUGCCAGCCGGGAUGUCCAUGGAAACAGUGCCCUGCCAGCCGGGAUGUCCAUGGAAACAGUGCCCUGCCAGCCGGGAUCUCCAUGGAAACAGUGCCCUGCCAGCCGGGAUGUCAGCGCAGCAGACAGCAGCACCUCACCCCAAGAAGAGGUCCCCGAGGUGGGUGGCGGGACGGCGCCUGUCCUGAGGGGCGCAGCAGUGAGGCGGCCCCUCCAGGGCUCCCUGCCAGGAGCCUGGUGCCACCUGCUCAGGGUGCCUCUCCCGCAGGAGCCACAGAACGCGGCUGGCUUUGGGCAAACGUGUCCUAGCCUCUCUGCUAUCUUCUCUUACAUGAGUGACAUUUUGUUCCACUUCUUAAUGCCUAUAAGAAGGGAUUCUCUUCACUUCAAAUCUCUCCCUUUAUUAUCAUAAUUAGGCUUUACUCGGAAAGCAAGCAGUAAAAACUCUUCAGACAAGCAUCAUUACUUUGCGGCUUUCGGGCAAGAGAG
Molecule: non-coding RNA, 2259 nt
Organism: Sus scrofa (pig)
Lineage: Eukaryota; Metazoa; Chordata; Mammalia; Artiodactyla; Suidae
Source: RefSeq, a predicted model, not a curated record